Long non-coding RNA from Bos taurus (domestic cattle), 1057 nucleotides. The record is from Ensembl. Lineage: Eukaryota; Metazoa; Chordata; Mammalia; Artiodactyla; Bovidae.
GGGGAGGAGGCUCGCGGCCGCCCGGCGCCCUAGGCCGCAGCCGCCCUCGCCGCCGGCCGGGCCGGGUGGAGGUCUGCGCGGCUCCCGCGGGCUGUGCCCCCAGUUCCCCGCGGGCCGGGCCAGGUGGAGGGGGACGCGCGGGCGGGUGCAGGACCGGGGGCCUCAGUUAGAGGGGGGCAGGGGUCCUCCCCGGUGGUGAGAUGGGGGGGCGUGGGGAUCUUCACAGUCAGGGAUGGGCCAUGAGCCCACCCCGCCCUGCAAGCCCGGGCCGGUCGGACGCCCCGGGGGAUCUGGGCUUGCCCUCCAAGGAAGCCCACCCCUCUCGGCCUGGCGACGGGCCCCAGGCCACCUCCCCGAGGGCAGAGCCUGGGGGCCCGGCGGGGUGUCGGCCAGCAGCCGGUUCAAAACUACCGGGGCGGAGCUUCUUCGGUGUCCGGGUGAAGUUUCCAAACCAACCCGAGGAGGAAGACCUCCGGGAGGGGAGAGGCCGAAAGCGUUUCGUUUCCAGUGCUUUGGCUGCUUGAAAGCACUUGGAAUACUAGCAGCUGUGAACUUAGCCAAAAAAAAUCACCUCUUCUCCGACUCCAGAGGAAAGAAACAAGAAGGAAUGAGUCACUGCUGCCUCCAGAAAGUAGUAGUUUGUUUACAACGACCAACAGCAGCAGCCCCCUGAAGGGACCGGCUGCAGCCGGGGUUGCUAGGACCCCGACGUCUACAUUCGUGCCGGUGAAUGACGUUGCACCAAGGCUGGACCUCCAAAAAUGAGCCCCAGAGAGUUCCCAGACCGUUGGAAGAGGUUAAAAAGCCCUCCACCGAACUGAGGAGUGUUUCUUCUCAGAGGUGUCAACUGGAUUCAGAGUUCCCUGCGGCGCUCUGGAUCAGACAAGAAGUGAGAGCAGAGAUGAUUGACAGGACUGAGCCAAUGAUGAGAUCCUGCCCAAUUGUUCACUGCAUUCAUUUCAAUACUAACCCAUUCUUUGAGUGCCAACUUAUGUCAGACAUCUACUUCAGUGCUGGGCAUACAAACAACCAGAUCCUCACGUGCUUCAUCCCACCC